RNAcentral lists this ribosomal RNA (654 nucleotides) under uncultured archaeon. RNAcentral describes it as "bacterial SSU rRNA". It matches the Rfam family "Archaeal small subunit ribosomal RNA", at positions 1 to 662 of the family's 1478-position model. The record is from RNAcentral.
UUCCGGUUGAUCCCGCCGGACCUGACUGCUAUCGGAUUGAUACUAAGCCAUGCGAGUCAUUGUAGCAAUACAAGGCAGACGGCUCAGUAACGCGUAGUCAACCUAACCUAUGGACGGGAAUAACCUCGGGAGACUGAGAAUAAUGCCCGAUAGAACACUAUACCUGGAAUGGUUUGUGUUCCAAAUGAUUUAUCGCCGUAGGAUGGGACUGCGGCCUAUCAGUUUGUUGGCGGGGUAAUGGCCCACCAAGACUAUUACAGGUACGGGCUCUGAGAGGAGUAGCCCGGAGAUGGGUACUGAGACACGGACCCAGGCCCUAUGGGGCGCAGCAGGCGAGAAAACUUUGCAAUGUGCGAAAGCACGACAAGGUUAAUCCGAGUGAUUUGUGCUAAACGAAUCUUUUGUUAGCCCUAGAACCACUAACGAAUAAGGGGUGGGCAAGUUCUGGUGUCAGCCGCCGCGGUAAAACCAGCACCUCAAGUGGUCAGGAUGAUUAUUGGGCCUAAAGCAUCCGUAGCCGGCUCUGUAAGUUUUCGGUUAAAUCUGUACGCUUAACGUACAGGCUGCCGGGAAUACUGCAGAGCUAGGGAGUGGGAGAGGUAGACGGUACUCGGUAGGAAGGGGUAAAAUCCUUUGAUCUAUUGAUGACCACCU